GGUUAAGUCCCGCAACGAGCGCAACCCUUAUCCUUUGUUGCCAGCGCGUGAUGGCGGGAACUCAAAGGAGACUGCCGGUGAUAAACCGGAGGAAGGUGGGGAUGACGUCAAGUCAUCAUGGCCCUUACGAGUAGGGCUACACACGUGCUACAAUGGCAGAUACAAAGAGAAGCGACCUCGCGAGAGCAAGCGGAACUCAUAAAGUCUGUCGUAGUCCGGAUUGGAGUCUGCAACUCGACUCCAUGAAGUCGGAAUCGCUAGUAAUCGUAGAUCAGAAUGCUACGGUGAAUACGUUCCCGGGCCUUGUACACACCGCCCGUCACACCAUGGGAGUGGGUUGCAAAAGAAGUAGGUAGCUACCCUUUUUGG
This 369-nucleotide ribosomal RNA is filed under the name Edwardsiella tarda. RNAcentral describes it as "bacterial SSU rRNA". It matches the Rfam family "Bacterial small subunit ribosomal RNA", at positions 1078 to 1446 of the family's 1533-position model. The record is from RNAcentral. Lineage: Bacteria; Pseudomonadati; Pseudomonadota; Gammaproteobacteria; Enterobacterales; Hafniaceae.